CCCUUAGAUGUUCUGGGCCGCACGCGCGCUACACUGAUGCAUUCAACGAGCCUAGCCUUGACCGAGAGGUCCGGGUAAUCUUUGAAACUGCAUCGUGAUGGGGCUAGAUUAUUGCAAUUAUUAAUCUUCAACGAGGAAUGCCUAGUAAGCGUGAUUCAUCAAAUCGCGUUGAUUACGUCCCUGCCCUUUGUACACACCGCCCGUCGCUCCUACCGAUUGAGUGUGUUGGUGAGGAGUUCGGGUUGGCUCUUAGUGGUGGUUCGCCACCACCUAGAGCUGAGAAGUUCUCCAAACCGCCCCACUUAGAGGAAGGAGAAGUCGUAACA
This 326-nucleotide ribosomal RNA is filed under the name uncultured eukaryote. Its description in RNAcentral is "partial 18S ribosomal RNA". It matches the Rfam family "Eukaryotic small subunit ribosomal RNA", at positions 1470 to 1796 of the family's 1831-position model. The record is from RNAcentral.